Long non-coding RNA from Helicoverpa armigera (cotton bollworm), 406 nucleotides. RefSeq lists it as uncharacterized. Lineage: Eukaryota; Metazoa; Arthropoda; Insecta; Lepidoptera; Noctuidae. The record is from RefSeq and is a predicted model, not a curated record. The transcript has 3 exons.
UUAUUCUUUUGUUUAAACAAUCUUUUGUUAGAAGAUCAACAGAAUCGUUCGAUAAAGCAGUCAAUCCAAAAAAUCUUCGAGGUCUUGUCGGCCUCGCUAUUGUGAAGUUUUUACCAUAUUAUCUUAAACUAGUAUAUAAGCCUGCACAGAUUGUUACAGAAGCAUAGUUUACUGCUAUCUUCUCUACAGAUAACCAAAGAACUAAACCAAAAUGCCUGCUCCCACUGAAUCCUGCAAAGACUCCUGCAAAGACGCUGAUUGCUGCAAGGACAACAACUGUGAGACCAACUGCUCCGACUGCUCCACUGAUGGUGGUUGCUGCAAGUGAAGGGGGUCAUUAUAUAUGUAAUACAAUAUAAUCAAUUGUUUUAAUGUAAUCUUUUUCUGGUUUAUUCAAUAAAAAUGG